Molecule: ribosomal RNA, 426 nt
Filed under: uncultured bacterium
Lineage: Bacteria
Description: bacterial SSU rRNA
Rfam family: Bacterial small subunit ribosomal RNA
Source: RNAcentral
GAAUAUUGGACAAUGGGGGAAACCCUGAUCCAGCAACGCCGCGUGGAGGAAGAAGGUCUUCGGAUCGUAAACUCCUGUCAGGUGGGACGAAGGUCCGUCGGUGAACAGCCGUGCGGGCUUGACGGUACCGCCAGAGGAAGCCCCGGCUAACUCCGUGCCAGCAGCCGCGGUAAUACGGAGGGGGCAAGCGUUAUUCGGAAUUAUUGGGCGUAAAGGGCGCGUAGGCGGCCCUGCAAGUUGAAGGUGAAAUCCCUCGGCUCAACCGAGGAACUGCCUUCAAAACUGCAAGGCUUGAGGCCGGGAGGGGCCAGUGGAAUUCCCAGUGUAGCGGUGAAAUGCGUAGAGAUUGGGAGGAACACCGGUGGCGAAGGCGGCUGGCUGGACCGGUUCUGACGCUGAUGCGCGAAAGCGUGGGUAGCAAACAGG